RNAcentral lists this transfer RNA (76 nucleotides) under Candidatus Brocadiaceae bacterium. RNAcentral's name for it is "tRNA-Asn". It matches the Rfam family "tRNA". Rfam says of the family: Transfer RNA (tRNA) molecules are approximately 80 nucleotides in length. Their secondary structure includes four short double-helical elements and three loops (D, anti-codon, and T loops). Lineage: Bacteria; Pseudomonadati; Planctomycetota; Candidatus Brocadiia; Candidatus Brocadiales; Candidatus Brocadiaceae. The record is from RNAcentral.
UUUGCUAUAGCUCAUUUGGUAGAGCAGUUGACUAUUAAUCAACGGGUAACUGGUUCGAGUCCAGUUAGCAAAACCA